RNAcentral lists this ribosomal RNA (468 nucleotides) under uncultured bacterium. RNAcentral describes it as "partial 16S ribosomal RNA". It matches the Rfam family "Bacterial small subunit ribosomal RNA", at positions 28 to 507 of the family's 1533-position model. The record is from RNAcentral.
GACGAACGCUGGCGGCGUGCUUAACACAUGCAAGUCGAACGGAAAGGCCCUGCUUUUGUGGGGUGCUCGAGCGGCGAACGGGUGAGUAACACGUGAGUAACCUGCCCUUGACUUUGGGAUAACUUCAGGAAACUGGGGCUAAUACCGGAUAGGAGCUCCUGCUGCAUGGUGGGGGUUGGAAAGUUUCGGCGGUUGGGGAUGGACGCGCGGCUUAUCAGCUUGUUGGUGGGGUAGUGGCUUACCAAGGCUUUGACGGGUAGCCGGCCUGAGAGGGUGACCGGCCACAUUGGGACUGAGAUACGGACCAGACUCCUACGGGAGGCAGCAGUGGGGAAUAUGGCACAAUGGGCGGAAGCCUGAUGCAGCAACGCCGCGUGCGGGAUGACGGCCUUCGGGUUGUAAACCGCUUUCGCCUGUGACGAAGCGUGAGUGACGGUAAUGGGUAAAGAAGCACCGGCUAACUACGUG